Molecule: ribosomal RNA, 484 nt
Filed under: uncultured bacterium
Lineage: Bacteria
Description: partial 16S ribosomal RNA
Rfam family: Bacterial small subunit ribosomal RNA
Source: RNAcentral
GGGGGGGGGGGGGGGGGGGGGGGGGGGGGGGAGGGCGGGGGGAGGGAGGGAGCUUGCGCCUGGAUUCAGGGGCGGACGGGUGGGUAAUGCCUAGGAAUCUGCCUGGUAGUGGGGGAUAACGUCCGGAAACGGGCGCUAAUACCGCAUACGUCCUGAGGGAGAAAGUGGGGGAUCUUCGGACCUCACGCUAUCAGAUGAGCCUAGGUCGGAUUAGCUAGUUGGUGGGGUAAAGGCCUACCAAGGCGACGAUCCGUAACUGGUCUGAGAGGAUGAUCAGUCACACUGGAACUGAGACACGGUCCAGACUCCUACGGGAGGCAGCAGUGGGGAAUAUUGGACAAUGGGCGAAAGCCUGAUCCAGCCAUGCCGCGUGUGUGAAGAAGGUCUUCGGAUUGUAAAGCACUUUAAGUUGGGAGGAAGGGCAGUAAGUUAAUACCUUGCUGUUUUGACGUUACCAACAGAAUAAGCACCGGCUAACUUCGUG